AUGUUGUUUUGUUUUUCAGAUGAAGAAAAAUGUUUUUCUCUCUCAUCACGCCAAGUGCUACGGCAUUCAGAAGACCUUUGAUAGGUCCUAUGGUAUCUGUUCUCUUGAAGAGAUCCUGGGAAAAAUGAAAGACCAAACAUUACGACUGAGCUUGCCUGAAACUGAAACUUGGUAGAUUGAAGAGACUGAGACAUAAGGAGUGGGGACCUAUGUGUUUGUCUCGGGUAAGGAUGUAUAACCCCCUACCUCCAUGAGUGCCCAAGGCAAGAAAGACUACCCGGAGGAGCAACGUGACUACCAGGAUGCUGAAGGAGCUACCUUCUGCAUGGGUGUCAGCUAUGUCAGAUGAGAGGCACUCAUAGCUUUCUCCAGGUAGACAUUCCUCAACAACUCCAGAAAAGUGCUCCAUAAGAAAAAGCUCAAGUAUUUGUUCAACUGCCUUAUUAAAAGGAUGGAAUCUAUGCCUGCCCAUUUUAUUAUUAUUAUUGUUAUUUUUUUGAGAUGAAGUCUCGAUCCGUCGCCAGGCUGGAGUGCAGUAGUGCAUUCUCGGCUUACUGCAACCUCCACAUCCUGGGUUCAAGCAAUUCUCCUGUCUCAGCCUCCUGAGUUGCUGGGACUACAGGCACAUGCCACCACACCUGGCUAAUUUUUGUAUUUUUAGUAGAGACGGGUUUCAUCCUAUUGAUCAGGCUGAUCUUGAACUCCUGACCUCAGGUGAUCCACCUGCCUCCGCCUCCCAAAGUGCUGGGAUUACAGGAGUGAGCCACUGCACCCAGCCUCCAUUUUAUUCUUAAUUCCUCACCACAUGGGUCUAACUGUGGGGGCAGCUACCAUGGCCAGCGAGUGUGAAAGAAGAGGAGUGAGGAUGAGGGAAGUCAAUCAGUCUCCCCCUUUAGACUUCCAGAUCAAUUCCCAUAAACACUUGGAUCACAAAGUCUUUUUGUCUUCCUAAGAACAUUUGGUAUUUCACUAUAUUAAUGUUUGACAGAAUCUUCUUUUGGAAAAUUACUAUUAUCCAAUGUUAUUUAUAAAUAUAUAUGCAUGCAACCUAAAUAAAAUACUUGCAAAUGGAUUACAGUCAUGUAAUAAAGAAGAAAUCACUGUGACAG
This 1109-nucleotide long non-coding RNA is filed under the name Homo sapiens (human). Its description in RNAcentral is "HSALNT0165413". The record is from RNAcentral. Lineage: Eukaryota; Metazoa; Chordata; Mammalia; Primates; Hominidae.